UCUACAGGUCGAGCAAGUCUCGUAAAUUUCACGAUUGCGAGCCACGCUUCACGCAACCGUGUUUGCGUACUUGUGUUUCGAGUUGCGUGGUCGUGCGGAGUUGUCAAAAUUAAAUCAAUAUGUCAAUAUGGCUACUGGGUGUAAAAGAUACAUCUUAUUCUAUCUGUUCUUAAUGAGUUUUAGAUAAUUUUAGUUGUAUUUCUUUGUAAUUUUGUGUUGUACAAAGAUUAAUUUAACAUUUUCUCUGGAAGUAUUAAUUUAGAAAGAUAAUAUGCUUCAUUGGUGUUGUGUUUUGAAGUGUGAAAUGCAAAGUAAUUGUGAUAAAGUUCACUUUUAAACUGAACUAAAUAAGGUAUCUGAGAGACAACAAUGGUUAAAUGCAAUACAAUGUACAGGUUUUACUAGCGAAAUGAAAAUUUUCCUGUCCUGUCUGCUGUAAUCAUUUUAUAUCUGGAAAACCAGCCGACUUAAUCGAUAAUAACAAUCUCCAGAUUGGGUUCCUUCAAUAAAUAUGGGCUAUAAACACAAUGAAAUAAGUUCCCCAAAAUCUAAAAUGGAGUGGUAUCAAAGGAGAAUUAUUAAAGGAAAAAAUAUUCAUAUUGAAAUUAUUUAUAAGGCACUGGACUGUCUUAAAUUCUACAGUAAUACUAGAAUCAGCUGAGAGAAGUGGUCUACAAAAAACCAGGAAGGAAACGGAAUAUGUGGCUACGAAAGGCAAAAGAAAGGUUUACAAAGCAAAUGUGACACAUUUUUUUGAAAUAUUUAGGAAUAUCAGUAAAUUGCAUUAAAAAAAUGUAUGAAAAGAUUUUGUUCAAUAAAAAUGUUUAUAUUUA
Molecule: long non-coding RNA, 833 nt
Organism: Diabrotica virgifera virgifera (western corn rootworm)
Lineage: Eukaryota; Metazoa; Arthropoda; Insecta; Coleoptera; Chrysomelidae
Exons: 3
Source: RefSeq, a predicted model, not a curated record